CAACAACUCCAGAUGUUUUUCUUUUGGUAUCGGCUCUGGUGCAUCAACGACUUUAGUGAAAGGCAUUGCACAUGCUGGCAAAGGUGCUGCUGAGUUCAUUGUAUCUGGAGAGAGGAUGCAACCUAAGGUGAUAAGAUCACUGAAAAAAGCCAUGCAACCUGCUGUGACAGAUGUUCAAAUUUCAGUCACUGUUUCUGAGAAUAUAACAGUAAAUGUAGUUCCAAAAGCUUCCACCUAUUUUUAUUGGUGAAUGUCUCAUUGUAUAUGCAAUUCUUCAUGACAAGUCACCAUCCUCUUCACCUCAA
Molecule: long non-coding RNA, 305 nt
Organism: Xenia sp. Carnegie-2017
Lineage: Eukaryota; Metazoa; Cnidaria; Anthozoa; Malacalcyonacea; Xeniidae
Exons: 3
Source: RefSeq, a predicted model, not a curated record